AUUGAACGCUGGCGGCAUGCUUUACACAUGCAAGUCGAACGGUAACAGGUUAAGCUGACGAGUGGCGAACGGGUGAGUAAUGCAUCGGAACGUGCCCGGUCGUGGGGGAUAACGCAGCGAAAGCUGCGCUAAUACCGCAUACGAUCUGAGGAUGAAAGCGGGGGACCGUAAGGCCUCGCGCGAUCGGAGCGGCCGAUGUCAGAUUAGGUAGUUGGUGGGGUAAAGGCCUACCAAGCCGACGACCUGUAGCUGGUCUGAGAGGACGACCAGCCACACUGGGACUGAGACACGGCCCAGACUCCUACGGGAGGCAGCAGUGGGGAAUUUUGGACAAUGGGCGCAAGCCUGAUCCAGCAAUGCCGCGUGCAGGAAGAAGGCCUUCGGGUUGUAAACUGCUUUUGUACGGAGCGAAAAGGCUCUCUCUAAUACAGGGGGUUCAUGACGGUACCGUAAGAAUAAGCACCGGCUAACUACGUGCCAGCAGCCGCCGUAA
This 493-nucleotide ribosomal RNA is filed under the name uncultured bacterium. Its description in RNAcentral is "partial 16S ribosomal RNA". It matches the Rfam family "Bacterial small subunit ribosomal RNA", at positions 29 to 523 of the family's 1533-position model. The record is from RNAcentral.